RNAcentral lists this ribosomal RNA (430 nucleotides) under uncultured Acinetobacter sp. RNAcentral's name for it is "bacterial SSU rRNA". It matches the Rfam family "Bacterial small subunit ribosomal RNA", at positions 355 to 776 of the family's 1533-position model. The record is from RNAcentral. Lineage: Bacteria; Pseudomonadati; Pseudomonadota; Gammaproteobacteria; Moraxellales; Moraxellaceae.
UGGGGAAUAUUGGACAAUGGGCGCAAGCCUGAUCCAGCCAUGCCGCGUGUGUGAAGAAGGCCUUUUGGUUGUAAAGCACUUUAAGCGAGGAGGAGGCUACUGAGAUUAAUACUCUUGGAUAGUGGACGUUACUCGCAGAAUAAGCACCGGCUAACUCUGUGCCAGCAGCCGCGGUAAUACAGAGGGUGCGAGCGUUAAUCGGAUUUACUGGGCGUAAAGCGUGCGUAGGCGGCUUUUUAAGUCGGAUGUGAAAUCCCUGAGCUUAACUUAGGAAUUGCAUUCGAUACUGGGAAGCUAGAGUAUGGGAGAGGAUGGUAGAAUUCCAGGUGUAGCGGUGAAAUGCGUAGAGAUCUGGAGGAAUACCGAUGGCGAAGGCAGCCAUCUGGCCUAAUACUGACGCUGAGGUACGAAAGCAUGGGGAGCAAACAGG